Long non-coding RNA from Syngnathoides biaculeatus (alligator pipefish), 858 nucleotides. RefSeq lists it as uncharacterized. The transcript has 6 exons. NCBI's taxonomy places the organism in Eukaryota, Metazoa, Chordata, Actinopteri, Syngnathiformes, Syngnathidae. The record is from RefSeq and is a predicted model, not a curated record.
AUUUCUAAAGGUUUUCUAAAUUCUCCCACAGCCCGAUCUUCAUCCCCCCAUCUCUUUAUCAUCCCACAAACAAGAUGGCGGACAUGCCGUUUUUGACAAAUUCUCAAACGACGGCCAUCCCGGCGUCCCGACACCGCUUGUCAGCGUCGGCGCAAGAAGCCAAUUUGUCUUGAACGCCAUCCAGCUCGACGCGACCGGCAUGGUCCACCAGUGUUUGACCCGCGAUGGCGAAAGAAGACGACGCGGGCGGUUUGGACGAGACUGCAAGUUGAACUGCCGAACAUAAAAUGACUCACAUGAAGCUCCGUGAGGGAAAUGUGUCAAACGCUCCCAUUCCACGUGUGGGCCAAGUGUCGCUCCGGGACGGCAACGGUUCACAUGUUGCCUGCUGAUGGAUGCCACACGAGAAGCGGGCGAGUACCUACAAAGCCGUUUGUGAACACCCUUUUACAUCUAAGGUGCCUGGUGACAAUCAAAAACACCCAUAAACAUGGAAAAGCUUCGAGGCGGGGUCACAGGAAGGAGGUAAGGAAGUGAGCGACCCGUCGGACUCCUCGCAGACUUUCCUGAGGUGGAACUUUCUUCACUUUUGUUUCCCCGCCUUCAGAAAAGAAAAGACAAAUGAGUUCCAAAAGACGUACAGCAUGAGCUAAAGUGUUUUCAUAGCGGUCAGCGCAUAUGCUUCACCCUCCUUGAGCGUUUAGCUCAUGCUUGGAUUGCCUCAUUGAAGCCCGAAGUCAUAAUUGUUCGGAUGGAAUCUUUUACAUGAUAUCGAUUGUUUUGAACAGUAAAAAUCACAUUAAUAUAAACUCCAAUUAUAAUGCACGGAAGAAAAAAAGACCCACGGAACUCUGUGGU